GUAUGUACUAGGUGAUGAGAGUCCGUGCGUAGCUACUAUGAUAUUAAAUGUUUGGGUAGUUUAGGACCCACAUCAUGUCUAAUGUGAGAUAUCCAUUAUUUGAAUUAUCAAAAUUAUCUUUUGUGAUAUGUUAAGAGAACAUAGAAGAACGAAAAGUGAUCAUACAAAUAUUGUUGAACCUUGUAAGAAUUUACUUGCGUAUAAAUGAUACCUUUGUGUGCGUUCUUGAUAUUUUAAUUAAUAUUUGUGGAUCGGGCCGAUCGCCUUGGUGAAAUAGAUAUAUCUAUGGUACGGGCUGCUCGACCCUCGGCAGUGCACAAUUUAUAUUCUAUUGGAGCAGGCCGUCGACAUUGUUGCGCAUGAAUAUAUAUAUAUAUAUGUAUGUGUGUGUGUGUGUGUGUGUGUGUGCGCGCGCGCUCGAGCUUAUACCUUUCACCUUAUGUGAGAUAUUAUUUGAAUUAUUAAAAAAAUCUUUUAUGAUAUGUUAGGGACUAGAGUAGAACGAAAAGUAAUAAUACGAAUAUUGUCGAACCUUCUAAGUAUUUCCUUGUAUAUAAAUGAUCCAUUUGCGUGCAUUUUGAUUUUUUAAUUGAUAUUUGUGGAUCGGGCCGAUCACCUCGGUAAAAUAGAUGCAUUUAUGGUUUGUGCCGCUUGACCCUCGGCAGUGCAC
Molecule: long non-coding RNA, 670 nt
Filed under: Nicotiana benthamiana
Lineage: Eukaryota; Viridiplantae; Streptophyta; Magnoliopsida; Solanales; Solanaceae
Description: long non-coding RNA (NBEN_LNC021539)
Source: RNAcentral